UACGUAGGGGGCAAGCGUUGUCCGGAUUCAUUGGGCGUAAAGAGCGUGUAGGCGGCCUGGAAGGUCAGCUGUGAAAACUCGAGGCUCAACCUCGAGACGUCGGUUGAAACCACCUGGCUAGAGUCCGGAAGAGGAGUGUGGAAUUCCCGGUGUAGCGGUGAAAUGCGCAGAUAUCGGGAAGCACACCCGUGGCGAAGGCGGCACUCUGGGACGGUACUGGACACUGAGGCGCGAAAGCGUGGGGAGCGAACAGG
This 254-nucleotide ribosomal RNA is filed under the name uncultured bacterium. RNAcentral describes it as "partial 16S ribosomal RNA". It matches the Rfam family "Bacterial small subunit ribosomal RNA", at positions 524 to 776 of the family's 1533-position model. The record is from RNAcentral.